Molecule: ribosomal RNA, 500 nt
Filed under: uncultured bacterium
Lineage: Bacteria
Description: partial 16S ribosomal RNA
Rfam family: Bacterial small subunit ribosomal RNA
Source: RNAcentral
AUUGAACGCUGGCGGCAUGCCUUACACAUGCAAGUCGAACGGCAGCACGGGAGCAAUCCUGGUGGCGAGUGGCGAACGGGUGAGUAAAGUAUCGGAACGUGCCCAGUCGUGGGGGAUAACGUAGCGAAAGUUACGCUAAUACCGCAUACGAUCUAAGGAUGAAAGCGGGGGAUCGCAAGACCUCGCGCGAUUGGAGCGGCCGAUAUCAGAUUAGGUAGUUGGGGGGGUAAAGGCUCACCAAGCCGAAGAUCUGUAGCUGGUCUGAGAGGACGACCAGCCACACUGGGACUGAGACACGGCCCAGACUCCUACGGGAGGUAGCAGUGGGGAAUUUUGGACAAUGGGCGCAAGCCUAAUCCAGCCAUGCCGCGUGCAGGAUGAAGGCCUUCGGGUUGUAAACUGCUUUUGUACGGAACGAAAAGGUUUGACUUAAUACGUUGGACUCAUGACGGUACCGUAAGAAUAAGCACCGGCUAACUACGUGCCAGCCGCCGCAGUAA